This is a long non-coding RNA of Pteronotus mesoamericanus, 254 nucleotides long. RefSeq lists it as uncharacterized. The record is from RefSeq and is a predicted model, not a curated record. The transcript has 3 exons. NCBI's taxonomy places the organism in Eukaryota, Metazoa, Chordata, Mammalia, Chiroptera, Mormoopidae.
CAAGCGGAGACUGGUCUUGUCGGAUUGUCCAUGCACUUGUUGCAGAAACAGCCAAGGCCCUGGCUCCAGAGGAUGCUGAAGGAGGAAGACACGGAAGCAGGACAACCCUGAAAGAUUAAGACUCUUAAUCCUGAAACAGAACCAGGUCUCCUUUUCCCACCUGCCCAGCAGCAUGAGAGCAGCAUGACCGGCCGGCCGCAGGAGACGCCCCCAGAGCCAGGCCCCCAAUUGAACCAUCUGCUGCGGAGGUCACG